Molecule: long non-coding RNA, 1699 nt
Filed under: Portunus trituberculatus (swimming crab)
Lineage: Eukaryota; Metazoa; Arthropoda; Malacostraca; Decapoda; Portunidae
Description: uncharacterized LOC123500044, transcript variant X1
Source: RNAcentral
UUCUAAAACAGCUCAUCACCUUCCCUUGGUGGGAGUAACUGACUGACAGACGUGUAUCUCAGUUUGUCCAGUGCUUCUGAGGGUGAAUGUUAUAGUAUUAGUGAAAACCUUUGACUAUACUUAUUGGAUACAUUAGUGAUUCUAAGGUGUUUACAACUUUGCCGUGCACGCGACGAGAGACGGCCACUGCGGGGAAGUGAAGUGAGACUCAAAGCAGGAGUAUCUCAGCUUACUUCCCAGGACCAAGGGCGUCCUAGCAUUAGUAGUGGCCUUCCAUGGGGUCACUCUUCACGCAGGUCACGGCCAUGGCCUCUCCAGCCUUUACAUUGUCCAGGGAGGGUGCAGGCCGUCACGGAUGGGAGGCUGUGGCGUACCCGAGCCGCGCUGUAUUGUGGCGAGAUCAGGAGAGGAGGGUGGUCAGGCUCACGAAGUUUUGAAGGUUCCCACCACCUGUCUUCACAACACCCUCACAUCCAUCAUAGACAAACAGCCACUGACAACAAUUAAGCAAACAAACAGAGAUGGAGACUGUUACAGCAUCACACAAGACUGAAUGAUGCAGUUCCUUGAGUCGCCGCCAUAACAACAACAAAAACAACAACAACAACAGGGGCAUUCGGGAUUACAUAAAGAUGCUAAAAAACGCAACACGAAGCCACGCCUUUACUUCGCCCCAAUAUGACCCUCCAGUCAGCCAAUCAGUGCCUAUAAACCACUAAAGCAAGAACUAUCUCCACUCUUAUUGCUUCUCCCUUUCUGCUCCAUCGCCGCCGUCGCCACCACCGUCCCCCGCCACUACCAUCGCCAAGCCACGCUAGUCCAGACCGACCUUCAGCCCUUCACCACCUGAGAGAAAGGUGACUUCCGCCGCACAGGUGUUCCUCCCCCCCACCCUCCUUCCUCCCAGGCCGGCCGACGUAAUCACUUCCUCGUACCAUCGACUCGUCAUGACAGUUUCUCGAAGCUCAAAUGGACAGGUGUGCAUGACCGGGCAGUGAGUGUAUGGCGGCUGAUAGGGAGCGCGAUAAGCAAACCCGUCGGGCAGGCAGCAGCAGCAGCAUCUCGCGGCGGGGCAGAAGUGGGAAGACCCUAGCCCCGGAGAGGAAAGCUGCUGAAUCUUUCUCUUCAUACAACCCUGAACCGGUUCGUCUGGUUGCUUUACUUUGGCUGCUGUGGUGGUGUACCUCAUGGGAGCAGAAUGAAGGAGGCAGGGGGAGGUACUACAGCUGUUUUGAGAGUGCCUCCAUCUGUAUGGCAACGAAGGUCAGAGAAGAACACCUGCGAUGGAAGUGCGUGUGGGGAGUGUAGCGCAUGUAGGUACGUGUGUAUAGAUGUCACGAAAAUGACAUAAUGAAGGUUUUAUUGCAAUGUGUGCAGUUGUGUCUUUUGUAUACUUCUGUGUAUCAUUUUUUAUCUCCUUCAUGUUCCUUUUCUAAUUUCCUUCUACUUUUCCAUUUUUUCUUCCAUGUCUCGUUUUGAUUUAUGAUUAUACUUUUUAUUUCUUUUUCAUUUCUACAUCUCUUUCUUUAUUUCUCCUCACCGUCAUGGAAUUCUGGUAACUGACAAUAGCUGUGUGACGGAGAAAGAAGCUCAAGUUACCAGUGUUUUGCCGAGACGUGUUGGAAAAUUCUGCUGUUGAUUUAAUUUCACGCUGGUCCUCGCGUCAGUCUUGCGUCUCCAGCGUGGAAUUGUUGAUUGA